AAUGGGCGAAAGCCUAAUCCAGCCAUGCCGCGUGGAGGAUUAAGGCCCUCUGGGUUGUAAACUCCUUUUAUCUGGGAAGAAACACCUCUAUUUAUAGAGACUUGACGGUACCAGAGGAAUAAGCACCGGCUAACUCCGUGCCAGCAGCCGCGGUAAUACGGAGGGUGCAAGCGUUAUNCGGAUUCACUGGGUUUAAAGGGUGCGUAGGUGGGCUAUUAAGUCAGUUGUGAAAGCCCCAGGCUCAACUUGAGAACUGCCAUUGAUACUGAUAGUCUUGAAUUUGGUAGAGGUAGUCGGAAUGUAACAUGUAGCGGUGAAAUGCUUAGAUAUGUUACAGAACACCGAUUGCGAAGGCAGCUUGCUAGGCCAAUAUUGACACUGAGGCACGAAAGCGUGGGUAGCGAA
Molecule: ribosomal RNA, 405 nt
Filed under: uncultured bacterium
Lineage: Bacteria
Description: bacterial SSU rRNA
Rfam family: Bacterial small subunit ribosomal RNA
Source: RNAcentral